This 148-nucleotide non-coding RNA is filed under the name Francisella noatunensis. Its description in RNAcentral is "FMN sequence". It matches the Rfam family "FMN riboswitch aptamer (RFN element)". Rfam says of the family: The RFN element is a highly conserved domain that is found frequently in the 5'-untranslated regions of prokaryotic mRNAs that encode for flavin mononucleotide (FMN) biosynthesis and transport proteins. This element is a metabolite-dependent riboswitch that directly binds FMN in the absence of proteins. The record is from RNAcentral. Lineage: Bacteria; Pseudomonadati; Pseudomonadota; Gammaproteobacteria; Thiotrichales; Francisellaceae.
GAUAAUCUUCAGGGCAGGGCGAAAUUCCCUACCGGCGGUAACUGUCUAAUUACAGAAGCCCGCGAGCGCUUUUUAGAUACUAAAAAGGUCUAGCAGAUUUGGUGUAACUCCAAAGCCGACAGUAUAGUCUGUAUGAAAGAAGAUUGAA